GUCCAGGUAGCCUAGUGGACAUGGCACCUGCCCAAUAAGCAGAAGGUUGUGGGUUCGAUUCCCGCCCCUAGGACA
RNAcentral lists this transfer RNA (75 nucleotides) under Cordylochernes scorpioides. Its description in RNAcentral is "tRNA-Ile". The stretch from base 6 to 67 matches the Rfam family "tRNA", at positions 6 to 65 of the family's 71-position model. Rfam says of the family: Transfer RNA (tRNA) molecules are approximately 80 nucleotides in length. Their secondary structure includes four short double-helical elements and three loops (D, anti-codon, and T loops). Further hydrogen bonds mediate the characteristic L-shaped molecular structure. tRNAs have two regions of fundamental functional importance: the anti-codon, which is responsible for specific mRNA codon recognition, and the 3' end, to which the tRNAs corresponding amino acid is attached (by aminoacyl-tRNA synthetases). tRNAs cope with the degeneracy of the genetic code in two manners: having more than one tRNA (with a specific anti-codon) for a particular amino acid; and 'wobble' base-pairing, i.e. permitting non-standard base-pairing at the 3rd anti-codon position. The record is from RNAcentral. Lineage: Eukaryota; Metazoa; Arthropoda; Arachnida; Pseudoscorpiones; Chernetidae.